GGGAGCAAUCCUGGUGGCGAGUGGCGAACGGGUGAGUAAUAUAUCGGAACGUGCCCAGUCGUGGNGGGAUAACGCAGCGAAAGCUGUGCUAAUACCGCAUACGAUCUAUGGAUGAAAGCGGGGGAUCGCAAGACCUCGCGCGAUUGGAGCGGCCGAUAUCAGAUUAGCUAGUUGGUGGGGUAAAAGCUUACCAAGGCGACGAUCUGUAGCUGGUCUGAGAGGACGACCAGCCACACUGGAACUGAGACACGGUCCAGACUCCUACGGGAGGCAGCAGUGGGGAAUUUUGGACAAUGGGCGCAAGCCUGAUCCAGCAAUGCCGCGUGCAGGAUGAAGGCCUUCGGGUUGUAAACUGCUUUUGUACGGAGCGAAAAGGCUCUCUCUAAUACAGGGGGCUCAUGACGGUACCGUAAGAAUAAGCACCGGCAA
This 429-nucleotide ribosomal RNA is filed under the name uncultured bacterium. RNAcentral describes it as "bacterial SSU rRNA". It matches the Rfam family "Bacterial small subunit ribosomal RNA", at positions 75 to 499 of the family's 1533-position model. The record is from RNAcentral.